This 485-nucleotide ribosomal RNA is filed under the name uncultured bacterium. Its description in RNAcentral is "partial 16S ribosomal RNA". It matches the Rfam family "Bacterial small subunit ribosomal RNA", at positions 28 to 507 of the family's 1533-position model. The record is from RNAcentral.
GACGAACGCUGGCGGCGUGCUUAACACAUGCAAGUCGAACGCUGAAGACCUGGCUUUUGUUGGGUUGGAUGAGUGGCGAACGGGUGAGUAACACGUGAGUAACCUGCCCUCUUCUUUGGGAUAACGCCCGGAAACGGGUGCUAAUACUGGAUAUUCACUGGCCUUCGCAUGGGGUUGGUGGAAAGGUUUGUUCUGGUGGGGGAUGGGCGCGCGGCCUAUCAGCUUGUUGGUGGGGUGAUGGCCUACCAAGGCUUUGACGGGUAGCCGGCCUGAGAGGGUGACCGGUCACAUUGGGACUGAGAUACGGCCCAGACUCCUACGGGAGGCAGCAGUGGGGAAUAUUGCACAAUGGGCGAAAGCCUGAUGCAGCGACGCCGCGUGAGGGAUGGAGGCCUUCGGGUUGUAAACCUCUUUCGCUCAUGGUCAAGCCGCAACUGUGGGUUGUGGUGAGGGUAGUGGGUAAAGAAGCGCCGGCUAACUACGUG